GAUAGGCCGUGCUAAGGAGAAAAGGCUCCUAACGUGCAAGUGUCCAGCCGAUGCUGCCUGAGACUGUCGCGAGGAGCGGAGCACAGUAAUAAUCCCCCUUGGCCCCUAUAGCGCGUUCUCGGUCCGGAACAGAGCAAUGGCAAACUCCGCCGAGGAAUCCCCCUGCCUCUUCUCCAGCGUCACGGGACAGGCCAGUGGGGGCGAGCGGCGGAAAUGGAACUAUGCCAUGCCUGGCUUGGAGCUGGGAGCUGGCCCCUUGGCUGGCUCUGAAGGACCCAACCGCCUGAGGCUUUUUAAGAAGAAAAAACUGAUUUCCGUUGCCUGCUGAUGGCGGCGACAGCCCUGUGUGGGGCAGGGGGGGAUUAAAACCAUCCCGUAAUCCUGGCCAUUUCCAUCGGGAUUAUGAAACCAAUCACGAAUAUCAAAAGCUGUGGCUUAAGCCAGCUGCCUGAGAGCGGCUGCCCUGCCGAGACUGCAGCUGGGAAGACAGGCAGGACCUGGGCUGCCUUCCAUUUCACGCACAGUCCCCCCACCCCACCUCCCCCAUUCAUCCCGAGCACCGUCAGGAAGGCGGGAACUGGUCUGGACUGGGACAGCGGCCGGAGCUGUCAGGUCCGGCUGUGAUCCCAGCGCUGCCUCCUCUCCCCAGCCAGGAUCGGGCGGUGACUUCCCCCGACGCGCUCUCAGCUGCCCCCUCGCGUUCGGGGUGUGCCUCUCCGGAGGGCAGUUCUGGGCCCUGCCCGCGGCUGUGGUGGAUUGACGGCGCCACUAGGAACUGACGACAGCCUGGGUAGGAGGGGCGCGCUUUUCCCGGCUCCCUGGCCACGAUCCCCCUCAGCUGCACAGGCCAGAGAAAUGACUAACGGCGGGCCGGAGGGAGCGGACUAGCCCUACCCUGCAGCCGGGGCCUGCGGGAUCCAGCCUCUGCGAGAGCGAGCGCAGCCGGCACUGCUGGCAGCCAGCUGGCCGACGCUCCUGUCCCGGGGCAUAACCUGGCACCUGGAUGGAGGCUGGGAGGAGAGAGCCCCCAGCUCUGCGUUGGGGGGAAGCGCCGGAGUCCCAGGCAGAAGCAGCGGACGGCUCGGGAAGGCUUGAAAAGCUCUAACAGCAAAACAGCUGUUGCUGCAGGUAGAGAUGAAAAAGAAGUUUCUGCUUCUUUUUUGCUCCUGGAAGAUUCCCUGGCUAACAUGUUGAAAUGCAUCAUGUCCAGUUGUCACCCAUCCGGACACGUACAACAACUUUAACCACUUCACCGCUGCUUAGUGUGCCAGGGGCCGCCGGGAGGCCGACAUGGAGGGGAGUUCGCCCACGGAGAAGCGAAGAGCCGGGAAGGGCGCGAAGCACAGCGGCAGGAACGCCGGCAGGAGCCAUCGCCCUGCGGAGAGCACCGGGACCAGCCGCAGCCAGCCUGCCCGAGCGGCUCUGGAGCCUGCAGGGCUGCCAGGGGAACCGGGCGGGGCCGCUUGCUCUAUUCUGGAGGGCAAGGUGAAGGCGCUGAAGGAGCAGCGGCUGAGCAUGAAGCAGGGAGGGGCGGUGUCCCAGGAACGAGCCCCCGUGAAGAAGCCCAAGGCCAGGAAAGGGAGGCUCGUGCCCGGUCUGGCUGUGGCGGAGGGGGUGCCCCAGGACACGGUGGUGGAGCCGAGGGCCCAGAUCCGCACCUACCUAACGGACGUGCUGCUAGACAGCCGUGAUGAUGGGGACUGUGGGCAGGGUGCUGGGGGGGCCGUGGCUGCAGACCUUUACACCAACCAUGUGGAAGCUCUGGAGGCGCAUGGGGCAGCGGGAGGAGGCAGCCCCUUGGGCCACGGCUCAGCUGGGGAGCUCUGGAGGCUCCCAAGCCCUGGAAGGCACGGACUGGAGAACACUGACGGCCGCUCAGAAAACAGGGUCCAAAGGGGCUACCCAUGUGGGCUUCAGGGCCCCCGAUCCACUAGGAAUCCCGCCACCAGCAGCCAGAAAUCUGCCCCUGAAGCACGUGGCACACCGGCCUCCUCGGGAGAAGAGCUGUGCCAGGCUGGGGACUUGGAGAGCACCCCCCAGGAUGGGCUGUACGGGGGGCCCGCCCCACCCGGGCGGCUGUGGAGGGCGGAGGGCGG
This is a non-coding RNA of Pelodiscus sinensis (Chinese soft-shelled turtle), 2096 nucleotides long. The record is from RefSeq and is a predicted model, not a curated record. NCBI's taxonomy places the organism in Eukaryota, Metazoa, Chordata, Testudines, Trionychidae.